UACAGGGGGGGGAAGCGUUGUUCGGAAUUACUGGGCGGAAAGGGCUCGUAGGCGGCCAACUAAGUCCGACGUGAAAUCCCAAAGCUUAACUUUGGAACUGCGUCGGAUACUGGAUGGCUUGAAUUCGGGAGAGGGAUGCAGAAUUCCAGGUGUAGCGGUGAAAUGCGUAGAUAUCUGGAGGAAUACCGGUGGCGAAGGCGGCAUCCUGGACCGACAUUGACGCUGAGGAGCGAAAGCUAGGGGAGCAAACGGG
Molecule: ribosomal RNA, 253 nt
Filed under: uncultured bacterium
Lineage: Bacteria
Description: partial 16S ribosomal RNA
Rfam family: Bacterial small subunit ribosomal RNA
Source: RNAcentral